UAAAGACCUCUUUGACCUGAACAGCUGUGAAGAGGACGACACCGAGGGAUUCUUGGAAAGAGGGAUACUGGGGCCCCUGAGCACUCGGCAUGGGGUGGAAGAGGAUAAAGAGGACAAGGAGGAGGGCGAGGAGGACAGCAGCAACUUGGAGGAUGGAGACCCAGACGCAGAGGCGGGGCUGGCCCCUGGGGAGCUGCAGCGGCUGGCCCAGGGGCCGGAGGAUGAGCUGGAGGAUCUGCAGCUCUCAGAGGAGGACUGAGGCAGCCCAUCUGGGGGGCCUGUAGGGGCUGCCGGGCUGGUGGCCAGUGUUUCCACCUCUCAGGCCUAGAGGCUGGCGUCUGUGCAGUUGGGGGAGGCAGUAGACAGGGGACAGGCUUUAAUAUUUAUUUUUCAGCAUGAACGACCAAACUUACCGAGAGCUAGGCUGGGCUGGCGUGGCUGCUGAAGCCCCACAGUUGUGGGCUGUUGAAGUCAGCUCCGCGGGGGAGCUGACCUUGACGUCAGCUGACGGAGACCAGUCCCAGUUCCAGGGGGAGGCCUGCAGGUCCCUGGCCCCUUCCACCACCUCUGCCCUCCGUCUGCAGACCUUGUCCGUCCGCACCAGGCUCUGCAUUCACUCCCCCAAGUCUUUGGAAAUUUGUUCCUUUCCUUUCAAGUCACAUUUUCCUUUAAACUUUUUUGUUUUGCGUCUAAAACUGAAAGAAAGAAAGCUGUGGGAGGCAGGGCCAUUGUAAAAAAAAAAAAAAAAAAAA
Long non-coding RNA from Homo sapiens (human), 752 nucleotides. NCBI's taxonomy places the organism in Eukaryota, Metazoa, Chordata, Mammalia, Primates, Hominidae. The record is from Ensembl.